This 252-nucleotide ribosomal RNA is filed under the name uncultured bacterium. RNAcentral describes it as "partial 16S ribosomal RNA". It matches the Rfam family "Bacterial small subunit ribosomal RNA", at positions 524 to 776 of the family's 1533-position model. The record is from RNAcentral.
UACGUAGGUCCCGAGCGUUAUCCGGAUUUAUUGGGCGUAAAGCGAGCGCGGGCGGUUGGAUAAGUCUGAAGUUAAAGGCUGUGGCUCAACCAUAGUAUGCUUUGGAAACUGUUCAACUUGAGUGCAGAAGGGGAGAGUGGAAUUCCAUGUGUAGCGGUGGAAUGCGUAGAUAUAUGGAGGAACACCGGUGGCGAAAGCGGCUCUCUGGUCUGUAACUGACGCUGAGGCUCGAAAGCGUGGGUAGCGAACAGG